This 586-nucleotide ribosomal RNA is filed under the name uncultured bacterium. Its description in RNAcentral is "partial 16S ribosomal RNA". It matches the Rfam family "Bacterial small subunit ribosomal RNA", at positions 355 to 1375 of the family's 1533-position model. The record is from RNAcentral.
UGGGGAAUUUUGGACAAUGGGCGAAAGCCUGAUCCAGCAAUGCCGCGUGUGUGAAGAAGGCCUUCGGGUUGUAAAGCACUUUUGUCCGGAAAGAAAUCCUUGGCUCUAAUACAGUCGGGGGAUGACGGUACCGGAAGAAUAAGCACCGGCUAACUACGUGCCAGCAGCCGCGGUAAUACGUAGGGUGCAAGCGUUAAUCGGAAUUACUGGGCGUAAAGCGUGCGCAGGCGGUUUGCUAAGACCGAUGUGAAAUCCCCGGGCUCAACCUGGGAACUGCAUUGGUGACUGGCAGGCUAGAGUAUGGCAGAGGGGGGUAGAAUUCCACGUGUAGCAGUGAAAUGCGUAGAGAUGUGGAGGAAUACCGAUGGCGAAGGCAGCCCCCUGGGCCAAUACUGACGCUCAUGCACGAAAGCGUGGGGGAGCAAACAGGAUUAGAUACCCUGGUAGUCCGCGCCCUAAACGAUGUCAACUAGUUGUUGGGGAUUCAUUUCCUUAGUAACGUAGCUAACGCGUGAAGUUGACCGCCUGGGGAGUACGGUCGCAAGAUUAAAACUCAAAUGAAUUGACGGGGUCAUAGCUGUUUCCU